CCUACGGGAGGCAGCAGUGAGGAAUAUUGGUCAAUGGACGAGAGUCUGAACCAGCCAAGUAGCGUGAAGGAUGACUGCCCUAUGGGUUGUAAACUUCUUUUAUAUGGGAAUAAAAUGUUCCACGUGUGGGAUUUUGUAUGUACCAUAUGAAUAAGGAUCGGCUAACUCCGUGCCAGCAGCCGCGGUAAUACGGAGGAUCCGAGCGUUAUCCGGAUUUAUUGGGUUUAAAGGGAGCGUAGGUGGAUUGUUAAGUCAGUUGUGAAAGUUUGCGGCUCAACCGUAAAAUUGCAGUUGAAACUGGCAGUCUUGAGUACAGUAGAGGUGGGCGGAAUUCGUGGUGUAGCGGUGAAAUGCUUAGAUAGCACGAAGAACACCGAGUGCGAAGGCAGUUCACUGGACUGCAACUGACACUGAGGCUCGAAAGUGUGGGUAUCAAACAGGAUUAGAUACCCCUGUAGUC
RNAcentral lists this ribosomal RNA (460 nucleotides) under uncultured bacterium. RNAcentral describes it as "partial 16S ribosomal RNA". It matches the Rfam family "Bacterial small subunit ribosomal RNA", at positions 338 to 795 of the family's 1533-position model. The record is from RNAcentral.